This 459-nucleotide ribosomal RNA is filed under the name uncultured bacterium. RNAcentral's name for it is "partial 16S ribosomal RNA". It matches the Rfam family "Bacterial small subunit ribosomal RNA", at positions 338 to 795 of the family's 1533-position model. The record is from RNAcentral.
CCUACGGGAGGCAGCAGUGAGGAAUAUUGGUCAAUGGGAGAGAUCCUGAACCAGCCAAGCAGCGUGAGGGAUGACGGCCCUAUGGGUUGUAAACUUCUUUUGUCGGGGAAUAAAGUUCGGUACGUGUCCCGUUCUGCGUGUACCCUAUGAAUAAGCAUCGGCUAACUCCGUGCCAGCAGCCGCGGUAAUACGGAGGAUCCGAGCGUUAUCCGGAUUUAUUGGGUUUAAAGGGUGCGUAGGCGGUCCGUUAAGUCAGCGGUAAAAUUGUGGGGCUCAACCCCGACGAGCAGUUGAAACUGGGAGACUUGAGUGGGCGAGAGGUAGGCGGAAUGCGCGGUGUAGCGGUGAAAUGCAUAGAUAUCGCGCAGAACUCCGAUUGCGAAGGCAGCGUACUGGAGCGAGACUGACGCUGAUGCACGAAAGCGUGGGGAUCAAACAGGAUUAGAUACCCGUGUAGUC